Molecule: long non-coding RNA, 246 nt
Organism: Nothoprocta perdicaria
Lineage: Eukaryota; Metazoa; Chordata; Aves; Tinamiformes; Tinamidae
Exons: 4
Source: RefSeq, a predicted model, not a curated record
UCAAGGAAAACCAGGUUCUUCUACUUCUGGACCCACGUAUUCUGGUAAACAGAAUCCAUCUUCCACGGGGGGCAGCCAAGUGAGCUCUGCUGGCAAACCCUCCAGUCCUGGAUUCCUGCUGCUAUUGAGUGCUUUGAGUGCCUUUGCAGCCUCUGCUGCUGUAUCAAAGUGGUCUGUAUGAACUUCUGAAGAUGUGUUUGGCAUCCUAGACGUUGGUUUUACUCUAUAAUAUUAGAUUAAUUACUU